UUAAGCGACUAAGCGUACACGGUGGAUGCCCUGGCAGUCAGAGGCGAUGAAGGGCGUGCUAAUCUGCGAUAAGCGCCGGUAAGGUGAUAUGAACCGUUAUAACCGGCGAUACCCGAAUGGGGAAACCCAGUGUGACUCGUCACACUAUCAUUAACUGAAUCCAUAGGUUAAUGAGGCGAACCGGGGGAACUGAAACAUCUAAGUACCCCGAGGAAAAGAAAUCAACCGAGAUUCCCCCAGUAGCGGCGAGCGAACGGGGAGGAGCCCAGAGCCUGAAUCAGCAUGUGUGUUAGUGGAAGCGUCUGGAAAGGCGCGCGAUACAGGGUGACAGCCCCGUACACAAAAGCGCAUGUGCUGUGAGCUCGAUGAGUAGGGCGGGACACGUGGUAUCCUGUCUGAAUAUGGGGGGACCAUCCUCCAAGGCUAAAUACUCCUGACUGACCGAUAGUGAACCAGUACCGUGAGGGAAAGGCGAAAAGAACCCCGGCGAGGGGAGUGAAAAAGAACCUGAAACCGUGUACGUACAAGCAGUGGGAGCCCCACCACCAAAGCAUUCUCUGGUGUUGAAGGCCCUGCAAAGCAGCAUCGCGGUGGCGGAGCGUCGUUUGCGACGCCCAACACACAAAACAAGCGGUGAGUGCUUUGGGGUGGGGUGACUGCGUACCUUUUGUAUAAUGGGUCAGCGACUUAUAUUCUGUAGCAAGGUUAACCGUAUAGGGGAGCCGGAGGGAAACCGAGUCUUAACCGGGCGUUAAGUUGCAGGGUAUAGACCCGAAACCCGGUGAUCUAGCCAUGGGCAGGUUGAAGGUUGGGUAACACUAACUGGAGGACCGAACCGACUAAUGUUGAAAAAUUAGCGGAUGACCUGUGGCUGGGGGUGAAAGGCCAAUCAAACCGGGAGAUAGCUGGUUCUCCCCGAAAGCUAUUUAGGUAGCGCCUCGUGAAUUCAUCUCCGGGGGUAGAGCACUGUUUCGGCUAGGGGGCCAUCCCGGCUUACCAACCCGAUGCAAACUGCGAAUACCGGAGAAUGUUAUCACGGGAGACACACGGCGGGUGCUAACGUCCGUCGUGAAGAGGGAAACAACCCAGACCGCCAGCUAAGGUCCCAAAGUCAUGGUUAAGUGGGAAACGAUGUGGGAAGGCCCAGACAGCCAGGAUGUUGGCUUAGAAGCAGCCAUCAUUUAAAGAAAGCGUAAUAGCUCACUGGUCGAGUCGGCCUGCGCGGAAGAUGUAACGGGGCUAAACCAUGCACCGAAGCUGCGGCAGCGACGCUUAUGCGUUGUUGGGUAGGGGAGCGUUCUGUAAGCCUGUGAAGGUGGCCUGUGAGGGUUGCUGGAGGUAUCAGAAGUGCGAAUGCUGACAUAAGUAACGAUAAAGCGGGUGAAAAGCCCGCUCGCCGGAAGACCAAGGGUUCCUGUCCAACGUUAAUCGGGGCAGGGUGAGUCGACCCCUAAGGCGAGGCCGAAAGGCGUAGUCGAUGGGAAACGGGUUAAUAUUCCCGUACUUGGUGUUACUGCGAAGGGGGGACGGAGAAGGCUAUGUUGGCCGGGCGACGGUUGUCCCGGUUUAAGCGUGUAGGUGUGUGUUCCAGGUAAAUCCGGUUCACUUUAACACUGAGGCGUGAUGACGAGGCACUACGGUGCUGAAGCAACAAAUGCCCUGCUUCCAGGAAAAGCCUCUAAGCAUCAGGUAACAUCAAAUCGUACCCCAAACCGACACAGGUGGUCAGGUAGAGAAUACCAAGGCGCUUGAGAGAACUCGGGUGAAGGAACUAGGCAAAAUGGUGCCGUAACUUCGGGAGAAGGCACGCUGACACGUAGGUGAAGUGAUUUACUCAUGGAGCUGAAGUCAGUCGAAGAUACCAGCUGGCUGCAACUGUUUAUUAAAAACACAGCACUGUGCAAACACGAAAGUGGACGUAUACGGUGUGACGCCUGCCCGGUGCCGGAAGGUUAAUUGAUGGGGUCAGCGCAAGCGAAGCUCCUGAUCGAAGCCCCGGUAAACGGCGGCCGUAACUAUAACGGUCCUAAGGUAGCGAAAUUCCUUGUCGGGUAAGUUCCGACCUGCACGAAUGGCGUAAUGAUGGCCAGGCUGUCUCCACCCGAGACUCAGUGAAAUUGAACUCGCUGUGAAGAUGCAGUGUACCCGCGGCAAGACGGAAAGACCCCGUGAACCUUUACUAUAGCUUGACACUGAACAUUGAGCCUUGAUGUGUAGGAUAGGUGGGAGGCUUUGAAGUGUGGACGCCAGUCUGCAUGGAGCCGACCUUGAAAUACCACCCUUUAAUGUUUGAUGUUCUAACGUGGACCCGUGAUCCGGGUUGCGGACAGUGUCUGGUGGGUAGUUUGACUGGGGCGGUCUCCUCCUAAAGAGUAACGGAGGAGCACGAAGGUUGGCUAAUCCUGGUCGGACAUCAGGAGGUUAGUGCAAUGGCAUAAGCCAGCUUGACUGCGAGCGUGACGGCGCGAGCAGGUGCGAAAGCAGGUCAUAGUGAUCCGGUGGUUCUGAAUGGAAGGGCCAUCGCUCAACGGAUAAAAGGUACUCCGGGGAUAACAGGCUGAUACCGCCCAAGAGUUCAUAUCGACGGCGGUGUUUGGCACCUCGAUGUCGGCUCAUCACAUCCUGGGGCUGAAGUAGGUCCCAAGGGUAUGGCUGUUCGCCAUUUAAAGUGGUACGCGAGCUGGGUUUAGAACGUCGUGAGACAGUUCGGUCCCUAUCUGCCGUGGGCGCUGGAGAACUGAGGGGGGCUGCUCCUAGUACGAGAGGACCGGAGUGGACGCAUCACUGGUGUUCGGGUUGUCAUGCCAAUGGCACUGCCCGGUAGCUAAAUGCGGAAGAGAUAAGUGCUGAAAGCAUCUAAGCACGAAACUUGCCCCGAGAUGAGUUCUCCCUGAGACUUUAGGUCUCCUGAAGGAACGUUGAAGACGACGACGUUGAUAGGCCGGGUGUGUAAGCGCAGCGAUGCGUUGAGCUAAC
RNAcentral lists this ribosomal RNA (2976 nucleotides) under Salmonella enterica subsp. enterica serovar Weltevreden. RNAcentral describes it as "bacterial LSU rRNA". It matches the Rfam family "Bacterial large subunit ribosomal RNA". The record is from RNAcentral. Lineage: Bacteria; Pseudomonadati; Pseudomonadota; Gammaproteobacteria; Enterobacterales; Enterobacteriaceae.